CUCGCGAGGAGAAGUCUCGCGAGAGCUCGGGGGAAGGUGUCAUAUGACCCCAGCGGUUGCCAAGAUGGCGCCGCCCAGGCGCCGCCGGAGAGGGGAGACGAGACAAAACAAAACAAAAUAAAAUAUAAUAUGGUGUAAUCCCGGGGUAACGGGGCUCUAGGGCGGCUGCUGCGGCCUCAGCGCCGCUGGAUCGGUGCUGGGCCGGCAGUGCCAGCCAGGGAAGGUCCAAAGCUGCCGGUGUCGCCUGGCCGGGCCCCGAAUAAAACGGGCUCAAGCCAGUUGAAAUGCGUUAAACCCGGGUAAACCCAGCUAAAACGGCAUGGAACGUGCUAAAUCCGACUGGUACCGGGUGGCCUUUGGUCGCAGCCAGGGGAGGGAGCCGCGGAACCCCACCCCGGUGCCGGCCGUGGCCACCGGGAGCUGCUGGAUGUGUCACGGGGUUGGGCCGGAUCAACAAAUCAUAAAUUCGAGAGAGGAAUGCGGUACUAGCACAGAGACAGCAGCCACAGGACACCUGGAUCUUUCAGAGAAAGAGAAUUUAUUGCUCCAUUAUCAGAAGAAAGGAACUUCCUGCCUCGCUCAGCCCUGAGACACCGUCAGGAUUCAGAGGAAGAAGCUGACACUGCCCAGACAGAAUCCUGUGUUUGAAUGGAAUUUAUGCAUCAUGGAUGAGGUGCAUGAAUAUGCAACAGGCUGUUGCUUUUAAGGGUUAAUCCUCUGUUAAUGUGGGUCCUUUUUUGGGCUUAUUUUGCCCAGAAAAGGUUCCCAGACCGUCCCUAACUCUUUGUUUUUAUUGUCUUGUAUUGUCCUAAUCCAAAUUGUCCAAAUUAUUAUUGCUCUAAAUAUAUUGCUAUUUUUAUAACCCUUUUAUUACUAUUAAACUUUUAAAAUUUUAAAUACAAGUGAUUGGCGUUUUUCACAAUUAGAAAGUUAUACUGUAUUAAUUUUAUUAAGUAGUGUGUUAAAUAUAGCUUUAGGUUAUAACAUAAUGUUAAAAUAGAAACUAUGCUGUGUAAGAUACUUUUUUAAAGAGAGAACUCACACCAGAUAGCAGCCCGAUAGCAUUGUCUUAAUCGUAAUUGUUCAAAUUUUUAUUACUCUAAUUAUAUUGCUAUUUUUAUAACCGUUUUAUUACUAUUAAACUUUUAAAAUUUAAAAAAACAA
Agelaius phoeniceus (red-winged blackbird) is the source of this 1164-nucleotide long non-coding RNA. RefSeq lists it as uncharacterized. NCBI's taxonomy places the organism in Eukaryota, Metazoa, Chordata, Aves, Passeriformes, Icteridae. The record is from RefSeq and is a predicted model, not a curated record.